RNAcentral lists this ribosomal RNA (472 nucleotides) under uncultured Sphingobacteriales bacterium. RNAcentral's name for it is "bacterial SSU rRNA". It matches the Rfam family "Bacterial small subunit ribosomal RNA", at positions 910 to 1382 of the family's 1533-position model. Lineage: Bacteria; Pseudomonadati; Bacteroidota; Sphingobacteriia; Sphingobacteriales. The record is from RNAcentral.
UUGACGGGGCCCGCACAAGCGGAGGAACAUUGUGGUUUAAUUCGAUGAUACGCGAGGAACCUUACCUGGGCUUAAAUGUAGAGUGCAUUUUUUAGAGAUAGAAAUUCCCUUCGGGGCUUUCUGCAAGGUGCUGCAUGGUUGUCGUCAGCUCGUGCCGUGAGGUGUCGGGUUAAGUCCCAUAACGAGCGCAACCCUUAUCGUUAGUUGCCAUCUGGUAAUGCAGGGGACUCUAGCGAAACUGCCACCGUAAGGUGAGAGGAAGGUGGGGAUGACGUCAAAUCAGCACGGCCCUUAUGUCCAGGGCUACACACGUGUUACAAUGGUCGGUACAGAGGGCAGCUACCUGGUGACAGGAUGCUAAUCUCGAAAACCGGUCUCAGUUCGGAUCGAAGUCUGCAACUCGACUUCGUGAAGCUGGAUUCGCUAGUAAUCGCGCAUCAGCUAUGGCGCGGUGAAUACGUUCCCGGGCCUU